This 497-nucleotide ribosomal RNA is filed under the name uncultured bacterium. RNAcentral's name for it is "partial 16S ribosomal RNA". It matches the Rfam family "Bacterial small subunit ribosomal RNA", at positions 28 to 507 of the family's 1533-position model. The record is from RNAcentral.
GAUGAACGCUGGCGGCGUGCCUAAUACAUGCAAGUCGAGCGAACAGACGAGGAGCUUGCUCCUCUGACGUUAGCGGCGGACGGGUGAGUAACACGUGGAUAACCUACCUAUAAGACUGGGAUAACUUCGGGAAACCGGAGCUAAUACCGGAUAAUAUAUUGAACCGCAUGGUUCAAUAGUGAAAGACGGUUUUGCUGUCACUUAUAGAUGGAUCCGCGCCGCAUUAGCUAGUUGGUAAGGUAACGGCUUACCAAGGCGACGAUGCGUAGCCGACCUGAGAGGGUGAUCGGCCACACUGGAACUGAGACACGGUCCAGACUCCUACGGGAGGCAGCAGUAGGGAAUCUUCCGCAAUGGGCGAAAGCCUGACGGACCAACGCCGCGUGAGUGAUGAAGGUCUUCGGAUCGUAAAACUCUGUUAUUAGGGAAGAACAAAUGUGUAAGUAACUAUGCACGUCUUGACGGUACCUAAUCAGAAAGCCACGGCUAACUACGUG